RNAcentral lists this ribosomal RNA (407 nucleotides) under uncultured bacterium. RNAcentral's name for it is "bacterial SSU rRNA". It matches the Rfam family "Bacterial small subunit ribosomal RNA", at positions 29 to 477 of the family's 1533-position model. The record is from RNAcentral.
AACGAACGCUGGCGGCAGGCCUAACACAUGCAAGUCGAGCGAACCCUUCGGGGUUAGCGGCGGACGGGUGAGUAACGCGUGGGAACGUGCCCUUUGCUACGGAAUAGCCCCCGGGAAACUGGGAGUAAUACCGUAUGUGCCCUUCGGGGGAAAGGAUUUAUCGGCAAAGGAUCGGCCCGCGUUGGAUUAGGUAGUUGGUGGGGUAAGUGGCCUACCAAGCCGACGAUCCAUAGCUGGUUUGAGAGGAUGAUCAGCCACACUGGGACUGAGACACGGCCCAGACUCCUACGGGAGGCAGCAGUGGGGAAUCUUAGACAAUGGGCGCAAGCCUGAUCUAGCCAUGCCGCGUGAUCGAUGAAGGCCUUAGGGUUGUAAAGAUCUUUCAGUGGGGAAGGAUAAUGACUGUA